GGAGAGAUGGCUCAGUGGUUAAGAGCACUGACUGCUCUUCCAGAGGUCUUGAGUUCAAUUCCCAGCAACCACA
This 73-nucleotide transfer RNA is filed under the name Mus musculus (house mouse). Its description in RNAcentral is "tRNA-Ser". Lineage: Eukaryota; Metazoa; Chordata; Mammalia; Rodentia; Muridae. The record is from RNAcentral.